Molecule: ribosomal RNA, 383 nt
Filed under: uncultured eukaryote
Lineage: Eukaryota
Description: partial 18S ribosomal RNA
Rfam family: Eukaryotic small subunit ribosomal RNA
Source: RNAcentral
CAAUAGCGUAUAUUAAAGUUGUUGCAGUUAAAAAGCUCGUAGUUGGAUUUCUGGUGGGAGCGAUCGGUCUGGCGCUUAGCGCGAGUACUUGCAUCGUCUCCGGCCAUCCUUGGGGAGAGUCUGUCUGGCAUUAGGUUGUCGGGCAGAGGAUCCUCAUCGUUUACUGUGAAAAAAUUAGAGUGUUCAAAGCAGGCUUAUGCCGUUGAAUAUAUUAGCAUGGAAUAAUAAGAUAGGACUUUGGUACUAUUUUGUUGGUUUGCGCACCAAAGUAAUGAUUAAUAGGGACAGUUGGGGGUAUUCGUAUUCCGUUGUCAGAGGUGAAAUUCUUGGAUUUACGGAAGACGAACUACUGCGAAAGCAUUCACCAAGGAUGUUUUCAUUAA